CACAGGGAGGGUUUGUCUUCUGCAGAGGCUCGAGGCUCAGGAGCCAGGGUGAUGUGCCAGGCUGGUGUUGUCCUGCAGCAGAUGUGGGGAUUUUUCCUGCUCUACGCUUCCCUGAUGGUGGGAGGUGCUGCAGGACAAAGUGUUGAGCAGCCCACUGAGCUGACGGCUGUGGAAGGAGCCUUCAUCCAGGUCAACUGCACGUACCGGACAUCUGGGUUCAACGGGCUGUCCUGGUACCAGCAACGUGACGGCAGAGCACCCCUGUUCCUCUCUUACAGUGUUCUGGAUGGUGUGGAGAGGAGAGGCCAUUUUUCUACAUUCCUUAGUCGGUCUGAUGGGUAUGGUUACCUCCUCCUGAGGGAGCUCCAGAUGAAAGACUCUGCCUCUUACCUGUGUGCUGUGAGAGACACAGUGACUAUGGGACCAAUAAGGCUGCAGCAAGAUUCAGGGGCCAAAGCAGUGAGAAGCUGUAUUUCCUGUGUAUGUCUGCUAUGA
Molecule: non-coding RNA, 495 nt
Organism: Sciurus carolinensis (gray squirrel)
Lineage: Eukaryota; Metazoa; Chordata; Mammalia; Rodentia; Sciuridae
Source: the annotation of a RefSeq genome assembly